Molecule: ribosomal RNA, 329 nt
Filed under: uncultured bacterium
Lineage: Bacteria
Description: bacterial SSU rRNA
Rfam family: Bacterial small subunit ribosomal RNA
Source: RNAcentral
AACGAACGCUGGCGGCAGGCCUAACACAUGCAAGUCGAACGCCCUAGCAAUAGGGAGUGGCGCACGGGUGCGUAACGCGUGGGAAUAUACCCUUGAGUAAGGAAUAACGUCUGGAAACGGACGCUAAUACCUUAUAAUGACUCCGGUCCAAAGAUUUAUCGCUCAAGGAUUAGCCCGCGUUAGAUUAGCUAGUUGGUGAGGUAAAGGCUCACCAAGGCGACGAUCUAUAGCUGGUCGAGAGGAUGAUCAGCCACACUGGGACUGAGACACGGCCCAGACUCCUACGGGAGGCAGCAGUGAGGAAUAUUGGGACAAUGGGGGCGAACCCU